GGCAACAUGGCCGAGUGGUUAUGGCGCGGUGUUCAGGCAGGUUUCGCUCGAUUCGUCAGCGAGACAGCAUGGACUCGCCGUGGGAAACCUCGUGGGUUCGAAUCCCACUGUUGUCA
Molecule: non-coding RNA, 116 nt
Organism: Jaminaea rosea
Lineage: Eukaryota; Fungi; Basidiomycota; Exobasidiomycetes; Microstromatales
Source: the annotation of a RefSeq genome assembly